AUUGAACGCUGGCGGCAUGCCUUACACAUGCAAGUCGAACGGUAACGGGUCCUUCGGGAUGCCGACGAGUGGCGAACGGGUGAGUAAUAUAUCGGAACGUGCCCAGUAGUGGGGGAUAACUGCUCGAAAGAGCAGCUAAUACCGCAUACGACCUGAGGGUGAAAGGGGGGGAUCGCAAGACCUCUCGCUAUUGGAGCGGCCGAUAUCAGAUUAGCUAGUUGGUGGGGUAAAGGCCUACCAAGGCAACGAUCUGUAGUUGGUCUGAGAGGACGACCAGCCACACUGGGACUGAGACACGGCCCAGACUCCUACGGGAGGCAGCAGUGGGGAAUUUUGGACAAUGGGCGCAAGCCUGAUUCAGCAAUGCCGCGUGCAGGAAGAAGGCCUUCGGGUUGUAAACUGCUUUUGUCAGGGAAGAAAUCUUCUGGGCUAAUACCCCGGGAGGAUGAUGGUACCUGAAGAAUAAGCACCGGCUAACUACGUGCCAGCCGCCGCGGUAA
RNAcentral lists this ribosomal RNA (500 nucleotides) under uncultured bacterium. Its description in RNAcentral is "partial 16S ribosomal RNA". It matches the Rfam family "Bacterial small subunit ribosomal RNA", at positions 30 to 523 of the family's 1533-position model. The record is from RNAcentral.